UACAGAGGGGGCAAGCGUUGUUCGGAAUUACUGGGCGUAAAGGGCGCGUAGGCGGCCCGUCAAGUCCCGUGUGAAAGCCCCCGGCUCAACCGGGGAACGGCGCGGGAAACUAGCAGGCUUGAGUUCGGGAGAGGGAAGCGGAAUUCCGGGUGUAGCGGUGAAAUGCGCAGAUAUCCGGAGGAACACCGGUGGCGAAGGCGGCUUCCUGGACCAAUACUGACGCUCAGGUGCGAAAGCGUGGGGAGCAAACAGG
RNAcentral lists this ribosomal RNA (253 nucleotides) under uncultured bacterium. Its description in RNAcentral is "partial 16S ribosomal RNA". It matches the Rfam family "Bacterial small subunit ribosomal RNA", at positions 524 to 776 of the family's 1533-position model. The record is from RNAcentral.